RNAcentral lists this ribosomal RNA (534 nucleotides) under uncultured eukaryote. Its description in RNAcentral is "SSU rRNA". It matches the Rfam family "Eukaryotic small subunit ribosomal RNA", at positions 21 to 549 of the family's 1831-position model. The record is from RNAcentral.
UAGUCAUACGCUCGUCUCAAAGAUUAAGCCAUGCAUGUCUAAGUAUAAGCGUUUAUACAGUGAAACUGCGAAUGGCUCAUUAUAUCAGUUAUAGUUUACUUGAUAGUGCCUUACUACAUGGAUAACCGUAGUAAUUCUAGAGCUAAUACAUGCGUAAGUCCCGACCGGCAACGGAAGGGAUGUAUUUAUUAGAUAUAAGCCAACGCGGUCAGCAAUGGCCGGUUUUUGGUGAGUCAUAAUAACUUUUGCGGAUCGCAGUGCGGCUUGCCGCGGCGAUGAAUCAUUCAAGUUUCUGCCCUAUCAGCUUUCGAUGGUAGGGUAUUGGCCUACCAUGGCAUUAACGGGUAACGGAGAAUUAGGGUUCGGUUCCGGAGAGGGAGCCUGAGAAAUGGCUACCACCUCCACGGAAGGCAGCAGGCGCGUAAAUUACCCAAUCCUGACACAGGGAGGUAGUGACAAGAAAUAACAAGGCGGGGCUUUCAUAGUCUUGCUUUUGGAAUGGGGUGAAACUAAAUCAAUUGCCGAGAACCAAUU